AGGCCCAAUCCUUAGAGUCUUCUUCAA
Molecule: small RNA, 27 nt
Filed under: Arabidopsis thaliana (thale cress)
Lineage: Eukaryota; Viridiplantae; Streptophyta; Magnoliopsida; Brassicales; Brassicaceae
Description: ATSL217200
Source: RNAcentral